CCUACGGGCGGCAGCAGUGGGGGAUAUUGCACAAUGGGGGAAACCCUGAUGCAGCGACGCCGCGUGGGUGAAGAAGUAUUUCGGUAUGUAAAGCCCUAUCAGCAGGGAAGAAAGAAGACGGUACCUGACUAAGAAGCCCCGGCUAACUACGUGCCAGCAGCCGCGGUAAUACGUAGGGGGCGAGCGUUAUCCGGAUUCACUGGGUGUAAAGGGAGCGUAGACGGCCGUGCAAGCCAGGAGUGAAAGCCCGGGGCCCAACCCCGGGACUGCUCUUGGAACUGUGCGGCUGGAGUGCGGGAGGGGCAGGCGGAAUGCCUGGUGUAGCGGUGAAAUGCGUAGAUAUCAGGAGGAACACCGGCGGCGAAGGCGGCCUGCUGGACCGCGACUGACGUUGAGGCUCGAAAGCGUGGGGAGCGAACAGGAUUAGAUACCCGGGUAGUC
Molecule: ribosomal RNA, 441 nt
Filed under: uncultured bacterium
Lineage: Bacteria
Description: partial 16S ribosomal RNA
Rfam family: Bacterial small subunit ribosomal RNA
Source: RNAcentral